GAACGCUGGCGGCAGGCCUAACACAUGCAAGUCGUACGAGAAGGUUCCUUCGGGAACUGGAGAGUGGCGCACGGGUGAGUAACGCGUGGGGACCUACCUUUUAGUGGGGGAUAACGGUUGGAAACGACCGCUAAUACCGCAUACGCCCUUCGGGGGAAAGAUUUAUCGCUAAGAGAUGGACCCGCGUUGGAUUAGAUAGUUGGUGAGGUAACGGCUCACCAAGUCUUCGAUCCAUAGCUGGUUUGAGAGGAUGAUCAGCCACACUGGGACUGAGACACGGCCCAGACUCCUACGGGAGGCAGCAGUGGGGAAUAUUGGACAAUGGGCGCAAGCCUGAUCCAGCCAUGCCGCGUGAGUGAAGAAGGCCUUCGGGUUGUAAAGCUCUUUCAGAUGUGAAGA
RNAcentral lists this ribosomal RNA (399 nucleotides) under uncultured Rhodospirillaceae bacterium. Its description in RNAcentral is "bacterial SSU rRNA". It matches the Rfam family "Bacterial small subunit ribosomal RNA", at positions 31 to 448 of the family's 1533-position model. The record is from RNAcentral. Lineage: Bacteria; Pseudomonadati; Pseudomonadota; Alphaproteobacteria; Rhodospirillales; Rhodospirillaceae.